This 83-nucleotide transfer RNA is filed under the name Candidatus Aminicenantota bacterium. RNAcentral's name for it is "Candidatus Aminicenantes bacterium tRNA-Leu". It matches the Rfam family "tRNA". Rfam says of the family: Transfer RNA (tRNA) molecules are approximately 80 nucleotides in length. Their secondary structure includes four short double-helical elements and three loops (D, anti-codon, and T loops). The record is from RNAcentral. Lineage: Bacteria; Candidatus Aminicenantota. RNAcentral also lists the same sequence under 2 other names.
GCCGAGGUGGUGUAAUUGGUAGACACGCAAGCUUGAGGUGCUUGUGGGCUUUGCCUGUAGGGGUUCGAGUCCCCUCCUCGGUA